CCCUUAGAUGUUCUGGGCCGCACGCGUGCUACACUGAUGCAUUCAACGAGUCUAAAACCUGGUCUGAUAGGGCUGGGUAAUCUUUUGAAAGUGCAUCGUGAUUGGGAUAGAUGAUUGCAAUUCUUCAUCUUCAACGGGGAAUGCCUAGUAAACGCAAGUCAUCAGCUUGCAUUGAUUACGUCCCUGCCCUUUGUACACACCGCCCGUCGCUCCUACCGAUUGAAUGAUCCGAUGAAUACCAUGGAUUGAGAGUACGAAUAGGUUCGCUUAUUUCUGCUGCUCGAGAAGUGGAGUAAAUCUUAUCAUUUAGAGGAAGGAGAAGUCGUAACA
This 330-nucleotide ribosomal RNA is filed under the name uncultured eukaryote. RNAcentral describes it as "partial 18S ribosomal RNA". It matches the Rfam family "Eukaryotic small subunit ribosomal RNA", at positions 1470 to 1796 of the family's 1831-position model. The record is from RNAcentral.